AAACCCUCCAAGUAAACCCACUUCAUUCUCCAAACCUACCUUCAAGUUACAGGGGAUAAAAUUAAGAAGAGAACUCACAUCAAGUCUCGCUUCAAAGGCACAAUGAAGUUGAUGAAUGCUGUAUCUGAAGAGUGCACGAAUUUGGAAGACCAAUUCAUCUUCUUGCUCUUCCAUUGAUGCUUAAUCUUUACUCGAUUUGAAAUUGUUUUGCUCUAUACAAGAGAUUUGAGAGUGUUGAUCGAGUAUUGUAGUUUAAACACACUGCAAAAGAUUGGAGGUGAAAUUUCAAAACUUUGAAAACGUCUGUAGAUUUGCUUUAAAAAGGUGCGUCAUAUUCAUUUGAUGGUUUUAAUAAAGCAAUAUCACUCGGUGAAAAUCCAGCAAUGGAGGAUUUUUACGGGUUUCGUGCAAUGGUGCGGGAUGAAGGAUCUAAUUGUUUGGCAUAUGUGCAAGAGGCAGAUAGGAUUCAUGUUCAAGCAAAUUAUAGAAGAGAGGAGCUAAUGUCUGACCAUUUGCAUCCUCCUAUUCGUCGGCGAGGAAAAUGUGGUGUUGCGGGUAGGAAGGUACGUGCUGUUGAGAGAGGUCGAGCACCUAUUGAAAUGGGUGAAGAUGAUCAAACCACACAAGAUUCCCAAGCAGUCUCAAAUUAUGAACCAACAUUGAGAUUGUGACGUACAUGACACCACAGACUCCACAAAUAUUAAGGAACCCAAGUCUUUCAACACUUGGAAAUGUAUUUGGUAGUAAUCAACCUCAACAUUUUGACAACGCCCCAAACUUUGUGGAUGGUGAUGAGUUGGAGAAUGCAAAUCAAGGUGCAAGCCAAGGUGGUGAACCAUCGGUGAAGAAAAAGCGUACAAUCAUUCCUUAGCUUUGUGGGACUGGUAUGUUAAAAUCUUCAAAUUAUUCUUUGAAUAAGUGUUCCUUUUUAGUUGAAUAACUGAAAAAUUGUUCCUACUUUUACGGAGUCAUUAUCUUAAUCAGCACGGCCAAAAGAACAAAAUAAAAGUUUCUGUAUUGACAAAGAAAAAAGGCUAAGGAUGAAUCAUGUGGUUCCAAAUUGAUAUAGGAAGAAAAAGAAGAUAACUUGGAGCUCAUUUUUCACUCUUUUUGCCGAUUGAAAAAGUUCUGCUCAUUUUUGUUCUUCUUAUGUAAAAAUUAAGUCUAGUUUUUUGAAACUCCAGCAAGAAACUCCAUUUUUGUGGUUAAUAUUUUUUCACUUAACUUUGUAUGGUGUCAAGUAUUUUAUUAUGUGUAAUUUUAUGUAUUUUGUACUGCUGACCAUGUUUGAGGUUGACAUAUUAACUAAUACCAAAUAGAUGCA
Molecule: long non-coding RNA, 1324 nt
Organism: Solanum lycopersicum (tomato)
Lineage: Eukaryota; Viridiplantae; Streptophyta; Magnoliopsida; Solanales; Solanaceae
Source: RefSeq, a predicted model, not a curated record